This is a microRNA precursor of Gorilla gorilla gorilla (western lowland gorilla), 84 nucleotides long. NCBI's taxonomy places the organism in Eukaryota, Metazoa, Chordata, Mammalia, Primates, Hominidae. The record is from Ensembl.
UUCAAUACGUUGGGUUCAUUUCAUUUUCAUGACAACCCUAUAUGGGAAAAUGUUGUGAAAAUGAAAUGAGCCCAGCCCAUUGAA